AGAGUUUGAUCCUGGCUCAGGACGAACGCUGGCGGCGUGCUUAACACAUGCAAGUCGAACGAGAUCCAAUGUGUAGCAAUACACAUGAAGAUCUAGUGGCGAACGGGUGAGGAACACGUGAGAAACGUACCCCAGACUUUGGGAUAACAGUUCGAAAGGACUGCUAAUACCAAAUAACGUCGGAAGUCCGCAUGGACAUCUGACGAAAGGGAUUCCGGUUUGGGAGCGUCUCGCGGACCUAUCAGCUAGUUGGAGGGGUAACGGCCCACCAAGGCAACGACGGGUAGCUGGUCUGAGAGGAUGGUCAGCCACACUGGGACUGAGACACGGCCCAGACUCCUACGGGAGGCAGCAGUGGGGAAUCUUGCGCAAUGGGCGAAAGCCUGACGCAGCAACGCCGCGUGCGGGAAGAAGGCUUUCGGGCUGUAAACCGCUUUCAGUGGGAACGAAACUGACGGUACCCACAGAAGAAGGAGCGGCCAACUAUGUGCCAGCAGCCGCGGUGAUACAUAGGCUCCAAGCGUUGUCCGGAUUUAUUGGGCGUAAAGAGCUCGUAGGCGGUUGAGUAAGUCGGGUGUGAAAACUUUGGGCUUAACCCUAGAAAAGCAAUGAAACUAGUAGACUAGAGUAUGCAGGGGUAGAGGGAAUUUCUAGUGUAGCGGUGAAAUGCGUAGAUAUUAGAAAAGAACACCGGUGGCGAAAAGCGCUCUACUGGACCAUUACUGACACUCAGAGCGAAAGCUAGGGUAGCAAAAGGGAUUAGAUACCCCUGUAGUCCUAGCCGUAAACGAUGGAUACUAGAUGUUGUGCAUUAUGUACAGUAUCGUAGCUAACGCGUUAAGUAUCCCGCCUGGGGAGCACGCUCGCAAGGGUGAAACUCAAAGGAAUUGACGGGGGCCCGCACAAGCGGUGGAGCAUGUGGUUUAAUUCGAUGCAACGCGAAGAACCUUACCAGGGCUUGACAUACUACGAAUUUUCUUGAAAGAGAAAAGUGCCUUCGGGAAUGUAGAUACAGGUGGUGCAUGGCUGUCGUCAGCUCGUGUCGUGAGAUGUUGGGUUAAGUCCCGCAACGAGCGCAACCCUUAUUUUUAGUUACCAAUUCGUUGGGUUCUCUAGAAAGACUGCCGGUGACAAACCGGAGGAAGGUGAGGAUGACGUCAAGUCAGCAUGCCCCUUAUGUCCUGGGCUACACACGUGCUACAAUGGUUAAGGCAAAGAGUUGCGAACUUGUAAAAGUCAGCUAAUCUCGUAAACUUAGCCUAAGUUCAGAUUGUAGGCUGCAACUCGCCUGCAUGAAGUUGGAAUCGCUAGUAAUCGCUGGUCAGCUAUACAGCGGUGAAUCCGUUCCCGGGCCUUGUACACACCGCCCGUC
This 1372-nucleotide ribosomal RNA is filed under the name uncultured bacterium. RNAcentral describes it as "partial 16S ribosomal RNA". It matches the Rfam family "Bacterial small subunit ribosomal RNA". The record is from RNAcentral.